Plectropomus leopardus (leopard coralgrouper) is the source of this 914-nucleotide non-coding RNA. The record is from RefSeq and is a predicted model, not a curated record. NCBI's taxonomy places the organism in Eukaryota, Metazoa, Chordata, Actinopteri, Perciformes, Serranidae.
UUCAAGUUUGUCUCUGCUACAUACCGCCUGUUCAAGGUUCCUAAAGGCAACACCAAGCCCUGUCAGGUCAUAUAUAACGGGAGCAUUACUGGAGUAGAGGACAGCUUCCAGUUUGACUGUCAGUACACGUUCAAGGUCAAUGAAGUGGCGGAGGUAGAUGGAGAGUUAGCCACCAUCCUGACCAAGUCCAGAUUUACAGAGGACUUCACUUUCCAGCCACCUGGAGGCCCCAGUGAGCCCUGCGGAGCCAAACCUAAGGCAGGCAUUGUGGAUCCUUUCGAGCUGGUCCUUCAGCUGGAGAAACAGAGUCCAGGUUCAGCCACAGGGGGAUGCUGCAGCACUAAGUCUGCUACCUGCUGCAAGUGAUUGUGGGAAGAGCACUGUGAAAUACAGGCUCAGCAUCAUAAUGUGUUUGCAUCAUAACAGUAGUACAAAUGUACUGACUUAAUUUUGCAUCAUGUAGUGUCAUAAUCUUGUGUCUUAUUAACAUUUCAAAAAGAUUUCAGCAAUCAAAAAAAAUCAAAAUUAAUAACUUCAACACAAACAUCUGUGCUGUUGAUGUUUGGCGCCCACUUUCCUCUUAAUCCCCACAACCUCAUUUAAUUUAUUCAUAUAAAAAUGUUGCAUGAGUAUGACUUUUGGUUUUAUUAAGGCAGGAUCCAAAUCCCUACAAAUUCAAAACUUGUACAUAAUCUUGGACAGAACUGCCUUUUUUUCAUAAGGCUUUUUUCCAUCUGUCUACAAUCUUAGACAUCUGAAUUUCUUAACUGUGCCAUUCACACCUUCAUCAGACUUUCCCACCUAUGCCUUCACAAAUAACAUCAGUACUGUUGUAAUACCUCUAAUUUAAUUGUUUUUUUAAAUACAUAAUAGUAGUAGUAGUAGUAGUAGUAGUAGUAGUAGUAGUAGUAGUA